GGAGAGGAGGUGAGGAAGGAAAGGAGAGGAGGUGAGGAAGGAAAGGAGAGGAGGUGAGGGAGGAAAGGAGAGGAGGUGAGGAAGGAAAGGAGAGGAGGUGAGGGAGGAAAGGAGAGGAGGAUAGCAGUGGAGGUGAGUGAGAGAAGGAGAGGAGGUGAGGAAGGAAAGGAGAGGAGGUGAGGAAGGAAAGGAGAGGAGGUGAGGAAGGAAAGGAGGUGAGGGAGGAAAGGAGGUGAGGGAGGAAAGGAGAGGAGGAUAGCAGUGGAGGUGAGUGAGAGAAGGAGAGGAGGUGAGGGAGGAAAGGAGAGGAGGUGAGGAAGGAAAGGAGAGGAGGUGAGGAAGGAAAGGAGAGGAGGUGAGGGAGGAAAGGAGAGGAGGUGAGGGAGGAAAGGAGAGGAGGUGAGGGAGGAAAGGAGAGGAGGUGAGGGAGGAAAGGAGAGGAGGUGAGGAAGGAAAGGAGAGGAGGUGAGGGAGGAAAGGAGAGGAGGUGAGGAAGGAAAGGAGAGGAGGUGAGGGAGGAAAGGAGAGGAGGUGAGGGAGGAAAGGAGAGGAGGUGAGGAAGGAAAGGAGAGGAGGAUAGCAGUGGAGGUGAGGGAGAGAAGGAGAUUGGGAGAGAGGAGGGCAAGGGGUAGGUGUCAGAUACAAUUCAAACUAAAUGAUAUUACACAUCACAUGGUGCUCGUAUACACGAUGUGGUCCGAUGAAUACAGGCUGUUUAAACAGGCAGUCAGUUCUGAUCUUUUGACACUAAUUGGUCUUUUUUGUAUUUUUAUUUUGACCAUGUCGGUGUACCAGGUGGUGUACCUAACACUGUCUGUAGGAGCUGACCAUGUGGGUGUACCAGGUGGUGUACCUAACACUGUCUGUAGGAGCUGACCAUGUCGGUGUACCAGGUGGUGUACCUAACACUGUCUGUAGGAGCUGACCAUGUGGGUGUACCAGGUGGUGUACCUAACACUGUCUGUAGGAGCUGACCAUGUCGGUGUACCAGGUGGUGUACCUAACACUGUCUGUAGGAGCUGACCAUGUGGGUGUACCAGGUGGUGUACCUAACACUGUCUGUAGGAGCUGACCAUGUGGGUGUACCAGGUGGUGUACCUAACACUGUCUGUAGGAGCUGACCAUGUCGGUGUACCAGGUGGUGUACCUAACACUGUCUGUAGGAGCUGACCAUGUCGGUGUACCAGGUGGUGUACCUAACACUGUCUGUAGGAGCUGACCAUGUCGGUGUACCAGGUGGUGUACCUAACACUGUCUGUAGGAGCUGACCAUGUCGGUGUACCAGGUGGUGUACCUAACACUGUCUGUAGGAGCUGACCAUGUCGGUGUACCAGGUGGUGUACCUAACACUGUCUGUAUA
Long non-coding RNA from Oncorhynchus keta (chum salmon), 1360 nucleotides. RefSeq lists it as uncharacterized. Lineage: Eukaryota; Metazoa; Chordata; Actinopteri; Salmoniformes; Salmonidae. The record is from RefSeq and is a predicted model, not a curated record. The transcript has 10 exons.